Oncorhynchus masou masou (cherry salmon) is the source of this 1871-nucleotide long non-coding RNA. RefSeq lists it as uncharacterized. The record is from RefSeq and is a predicted model, not a curated record. The transcript has 3 exons. Lineage: Eukaryota; Metazoa; Chordata; Actinopteri; Salmoniformes; Salmonidae.
CAGUGAGUGGGGGGUGGGGGAAUGGGGGAGCGUUGUGGGACAGGUCACAAUGUCCUAUUUCUCUGAGAUGGGGCUCCCUUCACUAAAGCUGUUUCUCUAACAGCUGACUCCCUCUGGAUGGCAGACAAAUCCUAUCUGGCUGUUAUGCGUGUCAUAUCUACCCAAAGGCUAAAUGCAGACUGUUUGAAGAUAUUCAUUUUCUUUAUUCAUGAAGAUAAAUGAAUGCCCUCUUUGGGGUUUGAUGUGAGAAGCGUGUGUGUAUCUCUUUGCGUGCAGGUGUGUGCAUAUGGGUUUGUGUGUGUGCCUGUCUGUGUAUUUAGUUGUAUAUAUAUAUAUAUAUAUAUAUAUAUGUGUGUGUGUGUGUGUGUGUGUGUGUGUGUGUUGAGGAUUUGCUGUCUCUGCAGUAUGUGUCCUGAUGAGAGGUGUCCUGACAGACUGUCACAUGUGACUUAUCCUCCGAUGAGCAGCUCUGUUCAACCCCUCCGCCCUGCCAGACCCCAUUAGAGCACAGUGAAAACCACACACACACACACACACAUGUCAAAAGCAGAAUUCCAAGAUCCCACAGCAACCACAGAGACAGGCAAAGUACAAACAAAGGCUCUUUAUUACAAGUUCAGGUUUUACAAUAGUGACAAUAUCUUAAAAAAUGAUUUGUUUGAUUGGUUCUGUUUAAUACGACUAAGUACCCAGUUAGACAUUUUUAAGGAGACAAGGAGUUAGGACAAUGAGCAUACACUAUGACACAGGGCAAAACAAACACAGCAGCUGCUUCACUCACAGAGAGUUGGUUGAUGUUUGUUCAUAUUGCCCUACCCCAGCAGGGUUCGUUCAUUCAUUUGGCUCUACCCGAGGAGGGUUCAUUUGGCUCUUCUUCCCGAGCUGGGAUUUGUUAACCUCUGGCUGUUACGGUAGUCGAUGACUAGUUUGGUAGUCCAUGGUAAGCUGCUGAGCUCUCUUCCCCCCCACUCCAAGCCGUGCCGGCUGUGUUGUAUCGGAGAUAGCCUCUCGCAGCUGCGUUGGGCGUGUCCCCCAUGUCUGUAGCCAUGGGGGGACAACAAACAUACAAUUACAAUAUGUACUGAUCUACAAUGGGAGUCACAAGCACACGUUUGAAAUAAGCACUUUGCUUUUAGAGUUCUACAGAGAGCGUUGUAAUGGAGUCUUUUUCCCACAGGCGAUCAGCUGAGAGAGACAGGGGUCGAGGUGCAGCGAGGAGUCAGAUGUCUGUCUGUGCAGAGGUUCCCGGUCGAACGGCGCCCUCGAAGGCACAGGCAAUCAGCAGAGAGGGACAGCGGUCGGGGAGCGGCGAAGAGUCAGAUGUCCAUUCGUUGAGAGGUUCAUGGUCGAACGGCGCCUUGAAGGAUAAAGAAGAAACAGAAUGGAGCUAAGCACAGAGAGGAAAGCCUGGUUCAGACUGCUUUCCACCAGACAGAUGAAUUCGUCUUUCAGCAGGACAAUAACCAAAAAUACAAGGCCAAAUCUACCCUGGAGUUGCAUACCAAGAAAACAGUGGAUGUUCCUGAGUGGCCGAGUUACAGUUUUGGCUUCCAUCAGCUUGAAAAUCUAUGGCAAGACUUGAAAAUGGUUGUCGAGCAAUGUUCAACAACCAAUUUGACAGAGCUUGAAGAAUGUUGAAAAGAAUCAUGGGAAAAUAUUGUACAAUCCAGGUGUGCAAAGCUCUUAGAGGCUUACCCAGAAGGACUCACAGCUUUAAUCGCUGCCAAAUGUGCUUCUAACAUGUAAACAGCUCUGUAACAUCCCUACGGCUUCCUAUAAGAUGUAUGCUCUGUCUUUUAAAGAACUCAUUGAUCUCAACCCACAAGCGGAUCCAGCUCCAACCAGGGACAGAGAGGAAGAGAGAAGAUGAG